CACGUAGGGGGCGAGCGUUGUCCGGAUUUAUUGGGCGUAAAGAGCUCGUAGGCGGCUCAGUAAGUCGGGUGUGAAAACUCCAGGCUCAACCUGGAGACGCCACCCGAUACUGCUGUGGCUAGAGUCCGGUAGGGGAGCAUGGAAUUCCUGGUGUAGCGGUGAAAUGCGCAGAUAUCAGGAGGAACACCAAUGGCGAAGGCAGCUCGCUGGGACGGUACUGACGCUGAGGCGCGAAAGCGUGGGGAGCAAACAGG
This 254-nucleotide ribosomal RNA is filed under the name uncultured bacterium. RNAcentral's name for it is "partial 16S ribosomal RNA". It matches the Rfam family "Bacterial small subunit ribosomal RNA", at positions 524 to 776 of the family's 1533-position model. The record is from RNAcentral.